CUACGGGCCGCUCCAGUGGGGAAUAUUGGACAAUGGGGGAAACCCUGAUCCAGCAAUGCCGCGUGUGUGAAGAAGGCCUGCGGGUUGUAAAGCACUUUCGGUUGGGAGGACUGCUUCUAGCACUAAUAUUGUUGGAAGUUGACGUUACCUUCAGAAGAAGCACCGGGUAACUCCGUGCCAGCAGCCGCGGUAAUACGGAGGGUGCAAGCGUUAAUCGGAAUUACUGGGCGUAAAGCGCGCGUAGGCGGCUAGAUCAGUCGGGUGUGAAAGCCCCGGGCUUAACCUGGGAACUGCAUCCGAUACUGUCUAGCUUGAGUACAGGAGAGGAGAGUGGAAUUCCACAUGUAGCGGUGAAAUGCGUAGAUAUGUGGAGGAACACCAAUGGCGAAGGCAGCUCUCUGGCCUGAUACUGACGCUGAGGUGCGAAAGCGUGGGGAGCAAAUAGGAUUAGAUACUCCUGUAGUC
RNAcentral lists this ribosomal RNA (465 nucleotides) under uncultured bacterium. RNAcentral describes it as "partial 16S ribosomal RNA". It matches the Rfam family "Bacterial small subunit ribosomal RNA", at positions 339 to 795 of the family's 1533-position model. The record is from RNAcentral.